RNAcentral lists this long non-coding RNA (407 nucleotides) under Vigna radiata. RNAcentral describes it as "long non-coding RNA (VRAD_LNC005994)". The record is from RNAcentral. Lineage: Eukaryota; Viridiplantae; Streptophyta; Magnoliopsida; Fabales; Fabaceae.
ACAACCAUCAGAUCUCGUUCUAGUCAACCAUAUCAGUGUGUCUUUUGCUUCUCCUGUACCAUAGACAUAUAGAAGCAGAAACAAAAUUCAUUGGAAAACUGUGUGACUUGGUUCCAAGUUCCAUUGAUGUAAAAAUGACAACUCAUCCAUUGAUGUAACGAGUUCUUGCUAUCAGAAGCUAUUAUUGUCUAACUUACCUGAGAUAUUGCUUGAAUUUGAUUAAUCUCUGCUUCUUAUGCAUGCAAUUUUUCUUCCAACAUCAUGCAGAACUCAGUUGACAGGAUCAGGACAACAAAUAAAAAUUCAUAAUAAACAGAAAUGAUUCAAAAAAUAACAGUUAACAGGACCAGGACAGCAAAUGAAAGUCAUUAACAUAAAACAUUAAUCAUGUAAGUUUUACACUCUCC